GACGAACGCUGGCGGCGUGCCUAACACAUGCAAGUCGAACGGAGAUAUGAUUUCGGUUGUAUCUUAGUGGCGAACGGGUGAGUAACGCGUGAGCAACCUGACCUUCAGAGGGGGAUAACAUUUGGAAACAGAUGCUAAUACCGCAUAAGACCACGACCCGACAUCGGGAUGAGGUCAAAGGAGCAAUCCGCUGAAGGAGGGGCUCGCGUCCCAUUAGAUAGAUGGCGGGGUAACGGCCCACCAUGUCGACGAUGGGUAGCCGAGCUGAGAGGCUGAUCGGCCACACUGGAACUGAGACACGGUCCAGACUCCUACGGGAGGCAGCAGUGGGGAAUAUUGGGCAAUGGGCGAAAGCCUGACCCAGCAACGCCGCG
RNAcentral lists this ribosomal RNA (374 nucleotides) under uncultured bacterium. Its description in RNAcentral is "bacterial SSU rRNA". It matches the Rfam family "Bacterial small subunit ribosomal RNA", at positions 28 to 401 of the family's 1533-position model. The record is from RNAcentral.